RNAcentral lists this ribosomal RNA (257 nucleotides) under uncultured bacterium. Its description in RNAcentral is "partial 16S ribosomal RNA". It matches the Rfam family "Bacterial small subunit ribosomal RNA", at positions 524 to 776 of the family's 1533-position model. The record is from RNAcentral.
UACGUAGGGUGCGAGCGUUGUCCGGAAUUAUUGGGCGUAAAGAGCUUGUAGGCGGUCUGUCGCGUCUGCUGUGAAAAAUCCGGGGCUCAACCCCGGACUUGCAGUGGGUACGGGGCAGACUAGAGUGUGGUAGGGGAGACUGGAAAUUCCUGGUGUAGCGGUGGAAUGCGCAGAUAUCAGGAGGAACACCGGUGGCGAAGGCGGGAUCCUGGGCCGUAUUGACGCUGAGGAGCGAAAAGCGUGGGUAGCAAAACAGG